AACAGCCUAAAAUACUUACAUUGAUAUCGACCCGAUAUAUAAGGUGUAUGGGGCAUGAGCAACACACACAAAAAGAUCGUUAAGCAAAUCAGUGAGACGUCCUCUUCUCUACAAAGGUCCACUUGUCAAGCUGUCAUCCCUGCAUAAAGUGUGAGUCUUUUUAAUGCAUUCUGUAUGUAUAAUGCGUGGAGUAGACCGUUUGAAUGUAUCAAGAAAAAAAUGGGGCACGCUGUUAUUACCACAAAUAUGUUUAUUGGGGAAUUAAAGAUUAGUUUAUGGGAAAAGAAGUGUAGAGUGAUUAGAGUAAUCACCAAGGCCACAGCACUGCACAUGUUCGUUUACUGUCGGGUGAAGCACUGUCAAAGUGGGUGUGUGUGUGUUUCUUAAUCUAUCUAUGCUCACGAGGAAUCUACCUUUUCUUUUUUAUUUUACAUUUUGGGGCCCUAAUGCUACUUUUAAUUGUUUUAUUGAAUAAAGUCCAGAUCAUGAAGAUAAUUAUGAUUUUAAGACAAUUUAUUCUCAUGCCGGAUUGAAAGUUAAGCUUCGAUGUAGACAUUAGAAUGAUGGGCUGGCAUUUAAAUAUAUGUAGCAGUUAUUUGUAAUGACAGUAUUGCUCCCAAUUGUAGUAAUUUUUGCUUUGCACUUUUGUAUAGCCUUUUAU
RNAcentral lists this long non-coding RNA (661 nucleotides) under Salvia miltiorrhiza (redroot sage). Its description in RNAcentral is "long non-coding RNA (SMIL_LNC010579)". The record is from RNAcentral. Lineage: Eukaryota; Viridiplantae; Streptophyta; Magnoliopsida; Lamiales; Lamiaceae.